Long non-coding RNA from Zalophus californianus (California sea lion), 227 nucleotides. RefSeq lists it as uncharacterized. The transcript has 3 exons. Lineage: Eukaryota; Metazoa; Chordata; Mammalia; Carnivora; Otariidae. The record is from RefSeq and is a predicted model, not a curated record.
AGAGAGGAAGAUGUCUGUGAAACAGACAGAUGUUCAGAGAGAAAGAAAUAUGGGUCAGAAACUCAGACCUACUUAGAGAAAAGAAGAGCACUCAAGGAGGAAUACAUUAAGAUGCACAAUUGUUCAAUUGUUCCAGCACCAUUUGUUGAAAAGACUGCCCUUUUCCCAUUGAGGUACAGAUCUGUGCUAGGGAUCAAACCAUUCUGAACACCUACGAACUCAACAGG